Molecule: long non-coding RNA, 815 nt
Organism: Peromyscus californicus insignis
Lineage: Eukaryota; Metazoa; Chordata; Mammalia; Rodentia; Cricetidae
Exons: 3
Source: RefSeq, a predicted model, not a curated record
GUUCUCAAGCCUUAAUUAGGGUUUGGGGAAAGGGUUCAGGGAGAUACUGAAGAUCCAGGUCCCGCCCACCAGACCUGCCAGAGCCUCCUCAGUGCGCGUGCACACGCGCGGGCGCGCGCGCACACACACACACACACACACACACACACACACACACACACACACACACACAUACACACACCCGAGAAGAAGAGUGUGGGAAGGCACUGACCACCUCCCUGAGAGAAAGGAAAUAGUCCCCCGCCCAGAAACAUAAUUCUCAAGGCCCCCUUUACUAAGUCUCCUGGAGUCACCGGGGCCGCGAUGCUCCCCGACGGCCGGCAGGGGUCGCUGAGCCGGCGCGCAGGCCGCUCUCCAUUCAUAAAUCCGGCCUCCCUCCGGCCGCUCCCUCCUCCCUCCCUCAGACCCCUCCUUCCCCUAGCUGGGUAGGGACGACCCUAGACUGGUGUAGGAGGGUGGACGGUCCCCGGAGAGCCCCUGGAAGGGGGCAGAGACGUGGCCUAUUGAUUUCCCAGAUGGUCCUCCCUGCUCCUUAGGGGGUCUGGGAGGAUUCCCAGAAGGGCCAGCCAGAGCGCUAAAGGGUUACAAGGGAGACGCCCGGAGCACUUGUUCUGUGAGCCCACUUCUGUCUUGAAGACUUUCUUCUCUGGAUCUCCAGACUUUCUGCUCUAAUUUUGAUGGAAACUCUGAGGACCUCUGGUAUUCCACUGAUUCCCACUGAUCCCAGUGCUUUGGAAACGUGGUGUCAAGAUCACCUGGAACUGGAGUUACAAGCAGUUAUGAGUGGCCACGUGAGUGAUGGGAAUGGAACCAGG